GGCAACUACCACUGUCCCAACCGCGAUCCUAAGCUUUCGACGAUGUACUUCACCCCCCUGGUUUGAGCCUAAAAAAAUUGUUUUUGAGAAGAAAAUCUCACUGAAAAUCGUGAUAUUUUUCUUCCAAUUUGCUUGAUUUACAACGGAUACUGUAUUUUUACGCCGCUCGUAUGUGUGAGAAUUCUCCAAAGUCCAAACAAGAACGAGAAGAAUAUAUUUUUAUUCACCGGUAAGAUUUUGGAGCGAUUAUAGAAUACCCGGCCACUUUUGAAUUUUGAUAGUGUUUGUUUUUGGGGGAUACGGGGAUACGCAGUCAUUAAAAUGACGUAAUUAUUCGAGUAGUAGUUUAAGAGGAGAAUUGGUAACUAUUAUUUUUCAAUGAUACGGGGAUACGGGGAUACGCAGUCAUUAAAAUGACGUAAUUAUUCGAGUAGUAGUUUAAGAGGAGAAUGGGUAACUAUUAUUUUUCAAUGAUACGGGGAUAUAGGGAUACGCAGUCAUUAAAAUGACGUAAUUAUUCGAGUAGUUUAAAAGGAGAAUGGGUAACUAUUAUUUUUCAAUGAUACGGGGAUACGGGGAUACGCAGUCAUUAAAAUGACGUAAUUAUUCGAGUAGUUUAAAAGGAGAAUGGGUAACUAUUAUUUUUCAAUGAUACGGGGAUACGCAGUCAUUAAAAUGACGUAAUUAUUCGAGUAGUUUAAGAGGAGAAUGGGUAACUAUUAUUUUUCAAUGAUACGGGGAUACGCAGUCAGUAAAAUGACGUAAUUAUUCGAGUAGUUUAAAAGGAGAAUGGGUAACUUAUUAUUUUUCAGUGAUACGGGGAUACGGGGAUACGCAGUCAUUAAAAUGACGUAAUUAUUUGAGUAGUUUAAAAGGAGAAUGGGUAACUAUUAUUUUUCAGUGAUACGGGGAUACGGGGAUACGCAGUCAUUAAAAUGACGUAAUUAUUUGAGUAGUUUAAAAGGAGAAUGGGUAACUAUUAUUUUUCAAUGAUACGGGGAUACGCAGUCAUUAAAAUGACGUAAUGAUUUGAGUAGUUUAAGAGGAAUUUUUCGAGUAGUUUAAGAAGAGAAUGGGUAACUAUUAUUUUUCAAUGAUACGGGGAUACGGGGAUACGCAGUCAUUAAAAUGACGUAAUUAUUUGAGUAGUUUAAGACGAAUUAUUCGAGUAGUUUAAGAAGAGAAUGGGUAACUAUUAUUUUUCAAUGAUACGGGGAUACGGGGAUACGCAGUCAUUAAAAUGACGUAAUUAUUCGAGUAGUUUAAAAGGAGAAUGGGUAACUAUUAUUUUUCAAUGAUACGGGAAUACGGGGAUACGCAGUCAUUAAAAUGACGUAAUUAUUCGUGUACUUUAAAAGGAGAAUUGGUAUAACUAUUAUAUUUCAAUGAUACGGGGAUACGGGAAUACGCAGUCAUUAAAAUGACGUAAUUAUUCGUGUAGUUGAAGAGGAGAAUUGGUAACUAUUAUAUUUCAAUGAUACGGGGAUACGGGGAUACGCAGUCAUUAAAAUGACGUAAUUAUUCGAGUAGUUUAAGAGGAGAAUGGAUAACUAUUAUUUUUCAAUGAUACGAGGAUACGCAGUCA
Molecule: long non-coding RNA, 1585 nt
Filed under: Paramuricea clavata
Lineage: Eukaryota; Metazoa; Cnidaria; Anthozoa; Malacalcyonacea; Plexauridae
Source: RNAcentral